Molecule: non-coding RNA, 170 nt
Filed under: bovine gut metagenome
Description: Lysine riboswitch
Rfam family: Lysine riboswitch aptamer
About the family: Riboswitches are metabolite binding domains within certain messenger RNAs that serve as precision sensors for their corresponding targets. Allosteric rearrangement of mRNA structure is mediated by ligand binding, and this results in modulation of gene expression. This family includes riboswitches that sense lysine in a number of genes involved in lysine metabolism, including lysC.
Source: RNAcentral
UAUGAUAGAGGCUGCGGCUGACAAGAGUACCUGCGGAGCGUACAAGAAGGCUCCGAAGGGAAAGGGGAUGCCGCCGAAGGGCUGUUUUUCCGGUCUUCCCGGAUGGCAGCGCCUGGGACGCAGGGAAAUACCCUGCGGACUGUCGCGCUUCGUGCGCGGAGAGCUAUCGU